GGCGAGUGAAGAGGGAAGAGCCCAAGAUUGAAAGCUGGCGUCUUUGGCGUCCGCAUUGUAAUCUCAAGAAGUGUUUUCCGCUUCGGACCAUGCCUAAGUCCCUUGGAAAAGGGCAUCAUAGAGGGUGAUAAUCCCGUACAUGGCAUGGAGCGCCCGAAGCUUUGUGAUACACUUUCUAAGAGUCGAGUUGUUUGGGAAUGCAGCUCAAAAUGGGUGGUAAAUGCCAUCUAAGGCUAAAUAUUGGGGAGAGACCGAUAGCGAACAAGUACAGUGAUGGAAAGAUGAAAAGAACUUUGAAAAGAGAGUUAAACAGUACGUGAAAUUGCCAAAAGGGAAGGGUAGGAGGUCAGAGAUGCGGUCUGGGAUUCAGCCUUGCUUUUGCUGGGUGUUUUUCUCAGAUUGCAGGCCAACGUCGGUUUUGGGCGCUGGAGAAGGGUGGAAGGAAUGUGGCACCUCUCGGGGUGUGUUAUAGCCUUCUACUGG
Molecule: ribosomal RNA, 483 nt
Filed under: Ustilago hordei
Lineage: Eukaryota; Fungi; Basidiomycota; Ustilaginomycetes; Ustilaginales; Ustilaginaceae
Description: eukaryotic LSU rRNA
Rfam family: Eukaryotic large subunit ribosomal RNA
Source: RNAcentral